AACGAACGCUGGCGGCAGGCCUAACACAUGCAAGUCGAACGGUAACGCGGGGCAACCUGGCGACGAGUGGCGAACGGGCGAGUAAUGCAUCGGAACGUGCCCAGUAGUGGGGGAGAGCCCGGCGAAAGCCGGAUUAACACCGCAUACGACCUACGGGUGAAAGCGGGGGACCGUAAGGCCUCGCGCUAUUGGACCGGCCGAUGUCUGAUUAGCUAGUUGGCGGGGUAAAAGCCCAACAAGGCGACGAUCAGUAGCUGGUCUGAGAGGACGAUACGCCACACUGGGACUGCGACACGGCCCAGACUCCUACGGGAGGCAGCAGUGGGGAAUUUUGGACAAUGGGGGCAACCCUGAUCCAGCAAUGCCGCGUGUGCGAAGAAGGCUUUCGGGUUGUAAAGCACUUUUGUCAGGGAAGAAAUCUUUCAGGCUAAUACCCUUGGAAGGAUGACGGUACCUGAAGAAUAAGCACCGGCUAACUACGUGCCAGCCGCCGCCGUAA
This 499-nucleotide ribosomal RNA is filed under the name uncultured bacterium. Its description in RNAcentral is "partial 16S ribosomal RNA". It matches the Rfam family "Bacterial small subunit ribosomal RNA", at positions 29 to 523 of the family's 1533-position model. The record is from RNAcentral.